GGUUAAGCGACUAAGCGUACACGGUGGAUGCCCUGGCAGUCAGAGGCGAUGAAGGACGUGCUAAUCUGCGAAAAGCGCCGGCGAGGUGAUAUGAACCUUUGACCCGGCGAUGUCCGAAUGGGGAAACCCAGUGUGUUCCGACACACUAUCGUUAACUGAAUACAUAGGUUAACGAGGCGAACCGGGGGAACUGAAACAUCUAAGUACCCCGAGGAAAAGAAAUCAACCGAGAUUCCCCCAGUAGCGGCGAGCGAACGGGGAGCAGCCCAGAGUCUGAAUCAGCUUGUGUGUUAGUGGAAGCGUCUGGAAAGUCGCACGGUACAGGGUGACAGUCCCGUACACGAAAAUGCACAGGUUGUGAACUCGAAGAGUAGGGCGGGACACGUGGUAUCCUGUCUGAAUAUGGGGGGACCAUCCUCCAAGGCUAAAUACUCCUGACUGACCGAUAGUGAACCAGUACCGUGAGGGAAAGGCGAAAAGAACCCCGGCGAGGGGAGUGAAAAAGAACCUGAAACCGUGUACGUACAAGCAGUGGGAGCACCUUCGUGGUGUGACUGCGUACCUUUUGUAUAAUGGGUCAGCGACUUAUAUUCUGUAGCAAGGUUAACCGUAUAGGGGAGCCGAAGGGAAACCGAGUCUUAACUGGGCGUUAAGUUGCAGGGUAUAGACCCGAAACCCGGUGAUCUAGCCAUGGGCAGGUUGAAGGUUGGGUAACACUAACUGGAGGACCGAACCGACUAAUGUUGAAAAAUUAGCGGAUGACUUGUGGCUGGGGGUGAAAGGCCAAUCAAACCGGGAGAUAGCUGGUUCUCCCCGAAAGCUAUUUAGGUAGCGCCUCGUGAACUCAUCUUCGGGGGUAGAGCACUGUUUCGGCUAGGGGGCCAUCCCGGCUUACCAACCCGAUGCAAACUACGAAUACCGAAGAAUGUUAUCACGGGAGACACACGGCGGGUGCUAACGUCCGUCGUGAAGAGGGAAACAACCCAGACCGCCAGCUAAGGUCCCAAAGUCAUGGUUAAGUGGGAAACGAUGUGGGAAGGCACAGACAGCCAGGAUGUUGGCUUAGAAGCAGCCAUCAUUUAAAGAAAGCGUAAUAGCUCACUGGUCGAGUCGGCCUGCGCGGAAGAUGUAACGGGGCUAAACCAUGCACCGAAGCUGCGGCAGCGACACUAUGUGUUGUUGGGUAGGGGAGCGUUCUGUAAGCCGUUGAAGGUGUGCUGUGAGGCAUGCUGGAGGUAUCAGAAGUGCGAAUGCUGACAUAAGUAACGAUAAAGCGGGUGAAAAGCCCGCUCGCCGGAAGACCAAGGGUUCCUGUCCAACGUUAAUCGGGGCAGGGUGAGUCGACCCCUAAGGCGAGGCCGAAAGGCGUAGUCGAUGGGAAACAGGUUAAUAUUCCUGUACUUGGUGUUACUGCGAAGGGGGGACGGAGAAGGCUAUGUUAGCCGGGCGACGGUUGUCCCGGUUUAAGCAUGUAGGCGGAACGAUUAGGUAAAUCCGGUCGUUUUUAACGCUGAGGUGUGAUGACGAGGCACUACGGUGCUGAAGUAACAAAUGCCCUGCUUCCAGGAAAAGCCUCUAAGCAUCAGGUAACAUCAAAUCGUACCCCAAACCGACACAGGUGGUCAGGUAGAGAAUACCAAGGCGCUUGAGAGAACUCGGGUGAAGGAACUAGGCAAAAUGGUGCCGUAACUUCGGGAGAAGGCACGCUGAUAUGUAGGUGAAGCCCCUGCGGGUGGAGCUGAAAUCAGUCGAAGAUACCAGCUGGCUGCAACUGUUUAUUAAAAACACAGCACUGUGCAAACACGAAAGUGGACGUAUACGGUGUGACGCCUGCCCGGUGCCGGAAGGUUAAUUGAUGGGGUUAGCGGCAACGCGAAGCUCUUGAUCGAAGCCCCGGUAAACGGCGGCCGUAACUAUAACGGUCCUAAGGUAGCGAAAUUCCUUGUCGGGUAAGUUCCGACCUGCACGAAUGGCGUAAUGAUGGCCAGGCUGUCUCCACCCGAGACUCAGUGAAAUUGAACUCGCUGUGAAGAUGCAGUGUACCCGCGGCAAGACGGAAAGACCCCGUGAACCUUUACUAUAGCUUGACACUGAACACUGGUCCUUGAUGUGUAGGAUAGGUGGGAGGCUUUGAAGUGUGGACGCCAGUCUGCAUGGAGCCGUCCUUGAAAUACCACCCUUUAAUGGCUGGUGUUCUAACGUAGACCCGUGAUCCGGGUUGCGGACAGUGUCUGGUGGGUAGUUUGACUGGGGCGGUCUCCUCCCAAAGAGUAACGGAGGAGCACGAAGGUUAGCUAAUCCUGGUCGGACAUCAGGAGGUUAGUGCAAUGGCAUAAGCUAGCUUGACUGCGAGAGUGACGGCUCGAGCAGGUGCGAAAGCAGGUCAUAGUGAUCCGGUGGUUCUGAAUGGAAGGGCCAUCGCUCAACGGAUAAAAGGUACUCCGGGGAUAACAGGCUGAUACCGCCCAAGAGUUCAUAUCGACGGCGGUGUUUGGCACCUCGAUGUCGGCUCAUCACAUCCUGGGGCUGAAGUAGGUCCCAAGGGUAUGGCUGUUCGCCAUUUAAAGUGGUACGCGAGCUGGGUUUAGAACGUCGUGAGACAGUUCGGUCCCUAUCUGCCGUGGGCGCUGGAGAAUUGAGGGGGGCUGCUCCUAGUACGAGAGGACCGGAGUGGACGCAUCACUGGUGUUCGGGUUGUCAUGCCAAUGGCACUGCCCGGUAGCUAAAUGCGGAAAAGAUAAGUGCUGAAAGCAUCUAAGCACGAAACUUGCCCCGAGAUGAGUUCUCCCUGAGACUUUAAGUCUCCUGAAGGAACGUUGAAGACGACGACGUUGAUAGGUCGGGUGUGUAAGCGCAGCGAUGCGUUGAGCUAACCGAUACUAAUGAACCGUGAGGCUUAACCUU
RNAcentral lists this ribosomal RNA (2904 nucleotides) under Enterobacter roggenkampii. RNAcentral describes it as "23S ribosomal RNA". It matches the Rfam family "Bacterial large subunit ribosomal RNA". The record is from RNAcentral. Lineage: Bacteria; Pseudomonadati; Pseudomonadota; Gammaproteobacteria; Enterobacterales; Enterobacteriaceae.